This 74-nucleotide transfer RNA is filed under the name Candidatus Karelsulcia muelleri SMDSEM. RNAcentral's name for it is "Candidatus Sulcia muelleri SMDSEM tRNA-Cys". It matches the Rfam family "tRNA". From Rfam's summary of the family: Transfer RNA (tRNA) molecules are approximately 80 nucleotides in length. Their secondary structure includes four short double-helical elements and three loops (D, anti-codon, and T loops). The record is from RNAcentral. Lineage: Bacteria; Pseudomonadati; Bacteroidota; Flavobacteriia; Flavobacteriales.
GGCACCGUGGCCGAGUGGCUAGGCAGAGGUCUGCAAAACCUUUUACAGCGGUUCAAAUCCGCUCAGUGCCUCUA